This 357-nucleotide ribosomal RNA is filed under the name uncultured bacterium. RNAcentral describes it as "bacterial SSU rRNA". It matches the Rfam family "Bacterial small subunit ribosomal RNA", at positions 29 to 412 of the family's 1533-position model. The record is from RNAcentral.
AGCGAACGCUGGCGGCAGGCUUAACACAUGCAAGUCGAGCGGGCGUAGCAAUACGUCAGCGGCAGACGGGUGAGUAACGCGUGGGAACAUACCUUUUGGUUCGGAACAACACAGGGAAACUUGUGCUAAUACCGGAUAAGCCCUUACGGGAAAGAUUUAUCGCCGAAAGAUUGGCCCGCGUCUGAUUAGCUAGUUGGUGAGGUAACGGCUCACCAAGGCGACGAUCAGUAGCUGGUCUGAGAGGAUGAUCAGCCACAUUGGGACUGAGACACGGCCCAAACUCCUACGGGAGGCAGCAGUGGGGAAUAUUGGACAAUGGGCGAAAGCCUGAUCCAGCCAUGCCGCGUGAGUGAUGAA